Molecule: ribosomal RNA, 353 nt
Filed under: uncultured bacterium
Lineage: Bacteria
Description: partial 16S ribosomal RNA
Rfam family: Bacterial small subunit ribosomal RNA
Source: RNAcentral
CCUACGGGAGGCAGCAGUGAGGAAUAUUGGUCAAUGGACGCAAGUCUGAACCAGCCAAGUCGCGUGAGGGAAGACGGUCCUAUGGAUUGUAAACCUCUUUUGACGGGGAGCAAAAGACGCCACGCGUGGCGUUCCGAGAGUAAACGAAGAAAAAGCAUCGGCUAACUCAGUGCCAGCAGCCGCGGUAAUACGGAGGAUGAGAGCGUUAUCCGGAUUUAUUGGGUUUAAAGGGUGCGCAGGCGGAAGAUCAAGUCAGCGGUAAAAUUGAGAGGCUCAACCUCUUCGAGCCGUUGAGACUGGUUUUCGUGAGUGAGCGAGAAGUAUGCUGAAUGCGUGGUGUAGCGGUGAAAUGC